CUUCCUGGUUUCCUCAUGAUAUUUUAAGCAAUUUGAGUUCAGGAUUAAAUCUUCUUUAUCUUUGCAUUUUCAGAAACUAGCACAAUACCCUUCACAUUAUAGGUGUUCAUUGAAGGGAGAAUUGAUCAAUUCUACUCAGAAGAGUCUGGUUUUAGACCACUUUCUACUUUUUUUUUUCCACCUCAUUCUUUGCAAGCUCCCACAUCAGAACUUAAUACUUAUUCAUGGUGUCUGCAUGAGUUUCUUGGGACAUUUCUACUUACCCACACCUUCCUGCUGUUGUUAAAUAGGAGGCUACGUUCCAGAGGCAACAUUAUACAGUUUCCAUCAUCAACAUUUGCAAAAGCUUGUUUUCAGUGCUGCCUUGUCCUAGGAACAGAGUGGAUGCUUGUCUGGGGAAGGAGUACACAUUUCCUUCACCCUCAAGACCUCUAAAUCUAAACAGGGUCUCAAAUUCCUGGCCUCAAGUGAUCCUCC
Long non-coding RNA from Lemur catta (Ring-tailed lemur), 477 nucleotides. RefSeq lists it as uncharacterized. The transcript has 3 exons. NCBI's taxonomy places the organism in Eukaryota, Metazoa, Chordata, Mammalia, Primates, Lemuridae. The record is from RefSeq and is a predicted model, not a curated record.